AAUCACAUCUGUUCCCCCUCUGUGCCUGUAUCCUUGUCACCUGAAUAGCAUCCCCACCAGGUAUCAAAUGAGCUACAGGAAAUAGGUUUUCUUUUUAUCCAACUUCACUCUGAAAUGAGAAAAUGAGCACCCUGACAAGGAAGCCCACAAACCAACAGGGAUUCCAAGCUCAGAUUUCAUCAUAAUAAAGAAUGUUUAAUUGUUAGCUGAAGGUUCAUUCGGAGAGCAGGAACACCAAGAUUUUGAUACAAAGGUAGCUCUCUGGCUCCUCACUGCCCAAUUUUUGAAUAGCCUCAGAAAAGUAGCCUGAUAAUUAGUAGUCACUGACUUUUAAUGAUCUGAUCUCAUUCUAAUGGCGCAACCUCAAACUCUCAGGCCAGACCAGCAAUUCUCACCUCUCCAUCUUCUUUUAAGUAUCAAAACAAGGGCUGACUAGAUGGAAGCGCUCCUGGAAGCCUGACGCUUCUUUCAUUUCAAUCUUCCUCAAGCAACUGCAAAGGGAAUUGGACAAGUUUGAAACUUCGAAUUCCUUUCUUUCUUCGACCAGUCCUGAAUACUUCUAUCAAGGGUUAAUACUGAUUCAAAUGCAGCACUUACUGAGGUGAAAAUCUUGGAAGGGGGUGAGGGAUUAUGGAGGGAAACAGAAGAAAGAAGAGAAAGCAAGAGGAAAGAAGGAAAGGAAGAAGGAAAAAGAGAUGAGAUUAAAUUUAGUAUCGAAGAGAA
Equus caballus (horse) is the source of this 723-nucleotide non-coding RNA. The record is from RefSeq and is a predicted model, not a curated record. NCBI's taxonomy places the organism in Eukaryota, Metazoa, Chordata, Mammalia, Perissodactyla, Equidae.